Drosophila biarmipes is the source of this 1417-nucleotide long non-coding RNA. RefSeq lists it as uncharacterized. NCBI's taxonomy places the organism in Eukaryota, Metazoa, Arthropoda, Insecta, Diptera, Drosophilidae. The record is from RefSeq and is a predicted model, not a curated record. The transcript has 2 exons.
AACUCGCCUUGUGGUGUGUUUCGUCUUUUCGUGGUGGGAUUCAGCAGCUGACGCCUAACAGUUCGUUAACUGUUAGCGGCCUGUCAGUGGCAUUUCCCAGCCGCAUUACCUCGUCGCUGGCAGCUGGAAAAAUGUGUACCCAAUCCCUGGACUCAUAGUUGCUGUCCCAAUGCGCGGCAUUCCCGUUCGGAAAAAAGAACGAUUUCUAGUUUUGAAAUAAAACUGAUAUUGAAUGAAUGUUGUAGAGUACCAAGAAAAUGCAUAAGUUAGGUCGAGAGUUGUUUAUACGAAUAGGCAAGAAAGAUGAGAAUAAAAGCAAGAGUAUGGUCGACUAUGCCAAUUAUGAAUUAAACAGCCAUCUUUAAGUAUUCCACCAUUAAGACAAUUUUUGGGUCAUAACGCCCGACUUUGUAAGGGAAACCCCUUUCUUGUGCUGAUAAGGUAUUUUCCACCAACGGUCUCUUCGCGGUGAAAUGUUAUGAUUCAAACAGAACGCUGUAAGGCUGUCGCUGUCCGUAAACUAAUGUUAAUGUUAAAUGUUAAUCCUAACACUUUCGACUGUUGUCAGCGGGCCUACACUAGAUGGCGCUACGCUACAGAGCUGUGUAUCUUACACGUAAAUAACAAAAAUAAAUGUAUGCUCCUGCUCACCAUUGACCAUAGGGGAUGGCGACCUCAUCCACUGGCCACCAACGAUGGAGACACUGCCACUGUCAUUGCUGGCGCACGCUGACGCCUAGAACGAUCUCGGAUCCCACAAUGCCGGUACAUGCUGGGCAAUUCACACUGCCAAACUUUCCACCAGAUCCUGCAUUCGAUCCAGAAUGGGAUCUCACUGCGCUGCUGUUUCCUGCUCAGCCCUUAUUAGCCGGCGAGUACGCCGGGUUCACCUUGGUGCGGGCUCGAGCAUUCUGAAGAACACAGAUGGUUGUCACCCGCGCUCGAAGCUCUCCUGGAAAACAUCCUUGAGCAGGGUAAGAACAUGGACGCUGUGCAUCAGCUUCAGGUGACGUUCAAUGGUCCAAGCGCUCAGUCUCUCACUUUUAAAGCUAUCGGUCUGAAACUUUUCCAAAAGUAAUUUUUCUUUUGCAGGUAGUUUAUAAGUCGGAACCAGCCGAAUCGGACAAACAUAUCUUAUAGCUCUCAUAGGAAUUAGCAAACAAAAAUUUUACUUGUGGUGUUUUUAACAUAUAACUAACUAAGCUUUAAUUAGUUCUGAAUUUCGAAUUUAAUUUUAUCAAAAUCGUACGACUAUAUCAAAAAGUUGUCAUAGGAACGAUCGGAAAAUUGGUGGGAAAAUAAUAUUUAACAAAUUAUAGCUCCGGUGUUUUUUGACAUAUCUUAUAAUAUUGAGAAUAUAAUUUUUUAUACUUUUAAGAAUUUCGAAUUAAAUUUAAUAAAAAUCGGAAGACUCUAA